UACGAGUGCCUCAAGCGUUAUCCGGAAUCAUUGGGCGUAAAGGUUGUGUAGGUGGUCAUAUUAGUCUUCUGUUAAAUUCUUCGGCUUAACCGGGGGCAUGCAGGGGAAACGGUAUGACUAGAGGAUGCGAGGGGUCUGUGGAACUCAUAGUGUAGCGGUAAAAUGCGUUGAUAUUAUGGGGAACACCAAAAGCGAAGGCAGCAGACUGGAGCACUCCUGACACUGAAACAAGAAAGCGUGGGUCGCGAAUGGG
Molecule: ribosomal RNA, 253 nt
Filed under: uncultured bacterium
Lineage: Bacteria
Description: partial 16S ribosomal RNA
Rfam family: Bacterial small subunit ribosomal RNA
Source: RNAcentral